Mangifera indica (mango) is the source of this 1399-nucleotide long non-coding RNA. RefSeq lists it as uncharacterized. NCBI's taxonomy places the organism in Eukaryota, Viridiplantae, Streptophyta, Magnoliopsida, Sapindales, Anacardiaceae. The record is from RefSeq and is a predicted model, not a curated record. The transcript has 2 exons.
GAUAUCGCAUUUCAAAUAUGACUGCCCUCAGAAGAGUUUAAAUUAUGCAGAAAUUGAAUAAGACAAGAUUAGGGUCUUUGCUUGAAAAGCCAAAUUUGAAUUUGCUCUCUUGGAUUAGGAAGAUCGCACCGCGCUAUUUCCCACAUGAAUGAUGCAAAAUUAUGAAGUUCGUGCCUUUGAAAGUAAAAAAACAACAAAGUCUCAACUGCUAUCAAGUUCUGUAAGAUCACUCUGACGAUGCCGAUGACACCAGUGCAACCAUCUAUAUAAGUCAUUGCUGUCAUCGAUACUCAUUCAAUCGAACCACCACUGCCCCCUGCCAAGCUAGACGAUCCUCAAUUCAACCUCUCAAUUGAAAUCUUCAACAACCAAAUCCCGGGGUCUUCAAUUCUCCACUCAUUUCAACUCAAUCUCUCAAUCGGAGUACCUCUCUCAGUUCAAUCGACCAAUUGCUUCACUCUCUCGUCUUUUCAAAUUUUUUUGAGCUCCCAAAAAGUUCAAUUUCGGAUUGAAUAAUAAAAAAUAAAGAUCCUUUGUUUUCCCCUUUGUAGGUCAUUUUAUUUUUUGCAAUUACCAACUCAUGGAGUUUCUAAUUUAAGUUUUGCUCUCUUAGUUGCAAGCCGAGAUGGCAGUGAGUUGUGUUGGGUUGAGCUACACUAGCUCCAACGCAACCAACCGUGCCGAAGAGUUGUGUCAGACCUAGGCCUAUCAAUUGAUGGGUCUAGCAAAUCAGACCGAUCAUAUCGAGCUGACCCAAAAGCCUUACCCCAAGGUUCUGACAUGGCCCGGAGGCCUAGCAUGGCAUGUCUCGACCCUCUUGAAAUGUCUAGCUCUAAGGUAAUACAAUUGAUCUCAGUUGAAUGUCUUAUAUUUUUGUGAUAUUUGUUAAUUUUCCAAAACAGAAUAACAUAUGUAAGGGGAAAACAUUAGGUUUUGUAUAAAGCACUCAAAAGGGAAGAUAUGUUUGUGAAAGUGGGAAAGAAGAAGAUGUUGGCCUCUAUGGUGAUGAGAGAGUUUAUGAUCAUUGGGAAGACGAAGAUGAAGAAGCUUGAGACCCGCAGUGAGAGGAGAGAAAUAAGAAAGCAAAAAUGACAAAGCCAAUGAGAGAAGAAAAACUAAAGAAAAAGAAGAUAACAAAAACUUUAAUUCAAUGAUAUAAUUAUAAUUAAUAUUUAAAACCAAAUAGGAAAAAAAUACCUUAAUACUCUUUUGCAAUCAAAUAUAAAAUUAAAAAAAAUUAACUUUAUUAUUUUUCAAUUUUAAGAGUGACAAUUACCGUUAUGACAUUGUUCAGGUGAGAAACAGUAAUUCUCCCCGUUGUUAAGCAAAAUAUUUAUUUUUUUCUAUUGUUGUACUUGGGUCUUUUGAAUGAAGUAGAUCAUGCCAAAUUAAUUGUUCA